Regulatory RNA element from Desulfatibacillum alkenivorans AK-01, 80 nucleotides. It matches the Rfam family "c-di-GMP-I riboswitch aptamer". Rfam says of the family: GEMM was predicted in a large-scale screen for bacterial structured RNA regulatory elements. The record is from Rfam. NCBI's taxonomy places the organism in Bacteria, Pseudomonadati, Thermodesulfobacteriota, Desulfobacteria, Desulfobacterales, Desulfatibacillaceae.
AAUUAGUUUUGCCAAACCGGUCGCGAGGCCGGGACGGAAAGCCACGGGUCUUGAUCAUAAAAGACAGCCGGGUUGCGCAU